This 651-nucleotide ribosomal RNA is filed under the name Hynobius leechii (Gensan salamander). RNAcentral describes it as "partial 12S ribosomal RNA". It matches the Rfam family "Bacterial small subunit ribosomal RNA", at positions 555 to 1533 of the family's 1533-position model. Lineage: Eukaryota; Metazoa; Chordata; Amphibia; Caudata; Hynobiidae. The record is from RNAcentral.
ACGGCCUAAAGCGUGAUUAAAUUAUAUUAAAAUAAAUAGAAAUAAAAAUUAACUCGACUGUUAUACGUAUAUGUUAAACGGUAAACCAGAAACGAAAGAUAUUCUAACAAAUAAACUACUUGAACCCACGAAAGCUAAGAAACAAACUAGGAUUAGAUACCCUACUAUGCUUAGCCUUAAACUUUGGAACAACCCGCCUGAGUACUACGAGCCACAGCUUAAAACUCAAAGGACUUGGCGGUGCUCUACACCCCCCUAGAGGAGCCUGUUCUAUAAUUGAUACUCCCCGUUAAACCUCACCACUUAUUGCCAAUACCGCUUAUAUACCGCCGUCGUCAGCUCACCAUUUAAAUGAAAAAUAGUAGGCAUAAUGAUAAACAUAAAAACGUCAGGUCAAGGUGUAGCGAAUUAAGUGGAAAGAAAUGGGCUACAUUUUCUAAACUAGAAAAUACGAAAAAUUUUAUGAAAAACUAUUUAAAGGUGGAUUUAGCAGUAAAAAGAAAAUAGAGUGUUCUUUUUAAAUAGGCCAUAGAGCGCGCACACACCGCCCGUCACCCUCCUCAGAAAAACAACUAAUUAUAUAAUAAAAAAAAUAAAAAGAAGAGGUAAGUCGUAACAUGGUAAGUUUACCGGAAGGUGUACUUGGAUUAU